Long non-coding RNA from Cygnus atratus (black swan), 667 nucleotides. RefSeq lists it as uncharacterized. The record is from RefSeq and is a predicted model, not a curated record. Lineage: Eukaryota; Metazoa; Chordata; Aves; Anseriformes; Anatidae. The transcript has 3 exons.
GACAGAGGCUGCUGGUGGCCUGCUGCAAGAGGUGUCUCGGUAACCCACCCGAGCUUCUGGCUGAGCCAAGUCGUCUACAGUCGUCUCCAGGCAGUCGGGGUGGUUUCUGUCAAGUGAGUUUCAAGAUGAGCCUGAGGAAUGUCUCUUGUAAGGCAAAGCCAAGGCUGCCAAAUGCCCCGUCUGUGGAGCAUGUUCGGCUCGCUGCAGAAUAAGAAUGCUUAGCGCAGAAAGGAUUCCUUGCUUCCAGGCGGUGUUGAUCCUUUGUCACCGGUGGCAAGGAGGACAGUGCUGGGAGCUCGAAGUAGUGCCUUCGGCAGCUUUGCUCUUCAAAGCCAGCGGCGCUUCUGUUCCUUGGCAAAAGGAGCUGCACUUCCUUCUCCCAGAAGUGUUGUUGCAGAAGUUUGGCAGUGCAAGUGAGGACUUUUUCCUGCAAAUGCAAGGCAGUCUUGGCAGCAGCAGUUGAAAUUGUUUCUCAGGUGGUGCUACAGAGAGACGGAGCGUGCUGUGCUGGCCCUUUGCUGCGUUCCAGAGCUCUGCUGCUGCCAAUGUACUUGGGCAGUGGGGAUCUAACAGCAGAAGAGCACUCUUUGGCCAGCAUCUGGUGGCUGUAGGGAGGAUGGCGCACUGUGCAAGCAGAUCCAGUAGAGAAGGCCUGGUGAGGGAGUAU